CCGCCCAGCACAGCCUCUUUUCCCCUUCUUCCCUUGCUAGGGUUAGGGUGCUUAGAAGAAUUGACGCUCUCUCCCCUCCCCUCUCAAUCUCCUCUGAAAUGUCCUUAUCUUCCUAAAACUGGUGGGCAUGGCAUUGAAGAAGGUAAAUCCCCUCCAAAACCGGCCCUAAUUUCCUUAUGUUUCACGCUUUUUUAUUUAGUUGGUAAGCUAGGCUAGAAUUUUAUAAAUCUUGAUCGACCGGCAGAUGGUUAUAGCCGAUGAUCCUUGCCAAUCUGCAUACUGUUGUAUUUAUAUCAAUAGAAUAGUCGAUUACUUUAUUGUAUUACUUCUACACAAAUCGGCUUUAUUUAAGUAAGUAGUUAUUUAAGUGUUGCAUCAGUUUAUAAUGAUUACAUGCAAGUUCGUUUCGGCCUAUCAUAGGAAAGGAUUUAUUGUUCAUUUAACUAUUCAAAUUUAUCUCUAUCAGACUCCUAGCCAAACCAAAUUUUCAAUAGCCGAUUGUUCAACCUAUCUAUCGGCUCAAUAGUCGAUCAACUUGUUCUAUUCUACAUCUUGUCAGUCGUAAGAUCAAACUGACUGGCACGUCCACACCUAUUCUAAGAAUUUAUGUCUUGCAUUGGAGCAACGUAGAGACUCUCAGGCCUUUGCGUGUAUUCAGUAUGCCAGAUCGGACAUAUUUGGUGUCAACAGGGUGGUGGUGUGGUGAUGGUAUAUUGCAAUCCUCUUAUGGUGCUUCACUCUAACAUGGUGGUUGAUAUGUGUAUCCGAUCAUAAAUAGGCCCAUAUAUUAGGACAGUUCACGUAAGAUCUACUUCCGAUGCAAGUGCAACAGCCAAAGUUGGUUGUGUUGUGCGGCUGUACAGAUACCUCCAUGUCUCUGCAAUUUUUUAACUUGUAGCCCUUUCAGAAAACUUUAAUCAUAAAUAGGCUUUUAAAAAACUUCAACAAAAAUAGACCUUUUUGCUCGGCGCCAUCGUCUUUGGCGCUGAGAGACCUCUAGGACGAUGGCCAAAGACGAUGGCGCCAACAAACUUGGCCUCUAAGACGGCUAAGUCAUUGACAUUGAGAAGGACAACACCCAUGACAUCAAAUAAAAAAAAUACACGGAGUAUUUCAUAGCCAUAUUAUGCAGAAAAGCCAAAUGACGUAAAUAAAAAAAAAUCGAGAGAACAUGGAGUAAAGAGAGGGGCAGGGGCUGAAGGGUUUGUUUGGAUGGAUGUAAGUACUGUUUUGGAUGGAAUGGUACAUAGCUAAACUUUCUGAAAUUUCAGUGGUGUUAGAGUGUACCAAAAGCUUUCGAUGGUAUAUUUGUAAAAUCGUGAUCUUCCAUUUUUUGCUUUUCAAUAUUAAUAGACUUUAAAUGGUCACAAAUGAUCUUAAUUGUUAUGAGGUAAGAGGAAUAUUGAUCCUUGGAUAAGUAUAAAUUGGAUGGCUCACGACGUUUUAGGUGCACCAAAAAGAAAUCCUGAUUUUGUUCAUCCAUAGCAGUUUGUUAGUCACAACGAUCAAACUAUGGCUUGAAGAUGCAGCCAGCAAUGACUAAUCAAUCGGGGCAGCAUGCCUGGAUAAAAGCCCAUAUUUGUGGGAUUAAGCACAAGCUCAAGAGUGUCGGCUUGAUCCGUAUUGCCCUCAAGGACCAUUUCUGUUCGAAGCACCAGCAUAUCCAAAUCCAUAUGUCAGCUACAGCUAACUUAUGUGAGGCUCACAUAAUAUUUUCCUCAUUGGUUUAGAAGUCGUAAAUAAAAAUAUACAAACGGUCUCAUGGUAUCCAUGACAACCCAGCGAGAACAGAGUGAGCUUAUUGGCAUUCGAAUGAUAUUUUUUUUUCUCUAGUAUAAAUGAGAGAUGACUCUUGUUUGAUCAAACCAAUGUCAUUUUUCAUCCAGUUUAUUGACAAGUUAGUUGCUGACAAAUGAAGCAUUAGAGCAAUAACAGAGAAAUUGGAGCAAACCAUAGUACAUGUCCUUCAAGUACACCGUUUUCCGUAGCACUGACGCCGUUAUUAGUGUCAUUAGUAGGACAGAUUGAAAAUACAUAUGCGAAAAGUGAACUGUCUUUUAGAGUCAACCUGUAGUAUGGCACAUGAUGAGGCAAGACAUACUAGGCUAAGAAGAAAAAGAAAUAAUGUUAAAUGGCUGCAUCCAUGUCCAUGAAAUAUGAUUUUAUAUAUGUUGAGAAACCUUAUUUUGGUAGAGAAAAGUAUAGAGUAAGUACAUCAAAAAAACAUUACAAAAUAUAAUUUUAGAUAUAAUAUAAGAUUUGUAACAAAAUAUGAUAUGGAUAGACAUGUCAACAUGUGCUAGUUGGAAAAGGUCUAUGAACAUCACAAAACAUAACGAAAUAUAAUUUUUAAAGAUAAUUUAUGAUUAGUAACAAAAUAUGAUAUGAUAGCCACAUUGACAUGGAAUUGUCAAAAAAGGACUAGAAUGGGAUCGAUGGUCAUCAUUGACGGAAAACGGCUCUAGAACAAGACCGAUUAUAGUCAGCAGCCUUAGGCACGGGGGUAAAAUCAUAUGUUAUUAACAAAAUGAGUAUGACCUAAGUAUCUCAUCUAGAAUGUUAUUUUUUUGUUCCUCGUUUAGAAUGUUGUUGUUAUGUUCGUCUAUGUAUCGCACGCUGAUUAAUAAUAGACACAUAGAAAGUAGAAAAUGCUAUGGGAAGUGAAGAUGCCCGUUAAAAUUAAUAUUUUAAUGUGGUAUUUGCUAAAGGUGUAGUUCUAACCAAAGAUAAUGUAAUAAGAAGGAAUUGGAAAGGUAACACCCAAUACUCUUUUUAUGCAUGAUGAUGAAACUAUCUAACAUCUCUUCUUUGAAUGCCAUGUUGCUAAAUUUCUUUCGAGAAUUGUUUUUAUCUCCUUUCCAUUACAAAAAACCAACAAGUUUUACUCCGAUGUUUGGAAGUUGGAUUGAGCACAUUGACUCAAAACAAAAGAAAAUACAUCUUAAUAGGAAGCAGGAAUAAUAUAGUUUUUGAUAAAACUCUGACUAAAUCUUUUUGUUCAAUGCAAUGUACUACCAUUUGUUUUGGGCCCAACUACAAAGUUGUGACAAGGAUAUCAUUCAUAUUACAAGCUAUAACUUAGAGACAACAGUCAUAUAUAAAUAUUCACUCACUUUGGAUGUAGAUUCACUAAUAGGAUUACUCUCUCUUAAUAAGUGAUCUCUUGUGUACUGUUGGUGGUAUUGUAUUAUCUUCUUUCCCUCCUUUGUUUAGCUAGUUAUAUCUGGUUUUGGAACAACAACUUUGUUAGGUAAUUGUAUCUUUUAUGGAAGCAAAGGCCGUGUUAUUCUUAUUAUCUAUAGGAAAAUGACCAAACUAUUUUCUGAAUCCAUAUGAAGUAUAUAUGAGUGAAGUAUAAUAACUAUCGAGAUUAUAAAAGCAUCAACUGCUUCAUCUUCAUUCUAAUUGAAAAAAUGUACAAUGUUUAAUCAAUAUUCCUGCUAUCACAAAGCACUAAUGGUGAGACCAAGUUGAGCUAAAGAGUUCUAGAUUGCUCCUUGUCGAUAUAGAUGGUCAUAUGGCUCGAGGCCUGACAGCCUGGCCCAUAGCACAGCCAUUUGGCCUAGCCGAGCACAACUCGGCACGACAGGGACUGGGCCCGUGCUGGUUGACUCGACUGUUGGGCCGUGCCUAGGCUGAUGCCUUGGCACGUGGGCUAGCCUGGCACGGCCCGGUGGAUGCAAAAAAAAAUUAAAGGACCUAAAAUAGACUUAAUUUAGUUAUAUAAAACGUAGCCCAAAAUGAUAGGUAUAUAAAAUAGACUUAUUUUAGCCCUAAAAGAGAUAGCCCAAAGAAGAGGGAGAAAAAAUAGACAUAUUCGCACAACUAAAAGAGGUAAGGGAGAAAAUGUAGACUUAUUUAUGUUUCGGUCCAUCGUGCUUUCGGGCCAGCCCAGAACGGCCCAAGGCUUAUUGGGUCAUGCAUAGGCGAUCGAUGCAACCAGUGGGCCGGCACGGCAUGGCCUGGUGUGGCUAUUGGGCCGUGCCGGCCCGAUAGGAGUAGGCAUGAGCCCGGCCGUGUUUGGGCCGUGCCAGGUUGGGUGGGCCUGAUCGCCAUCUAUACCUGUUGAAUGCAUUGAACACGAGAUGUUUGCUAACUGUCAAAGCCUCAAAGGUCACCAAAGUUCUUUCAGUUCUUUCUCGGACCUUUGGUUGAGAAGUUUUUAACCAUUGCAUCACUGUAUAUAUGAGAACCGAUGGAAUGAUGAUCUAUCACUACAAAUGGGAGACAUUUUUUUUCCCAAUCAAUUCUUACACUGAUAAUUUUCCAUUUAACCUGUCAUUUUCCCAUGUUGUUUACUUUAAGACAUUAGCGUAAACCAUUGGUUACUGUGAAAAUUACAUAAAUAAAUUACAAUUUCACCACGUUUUACUUCCAAAGUUUCACAUUAGACAAAACCAAUCUUUUCACUUUAAGUCGGAUUGUUUUUUUGUUGUUUAGUUUGGACCACCUCCAAACUAUUUCACAUGGAUGGCAGCGAAGAUGGCGCUGGAUAACCAGCCUUGACAAUCAUCUUCUAUUUCUCGACACAAAUUAAUUGUUUUGUGCUAGCAUGGGCAUAGACUGUGCAUUGCAGUGUGGCUUGGCAUCCUACUUCCACCCAACUGCAUGUGCAUCAUCCUUAGCCGUUUUUCUUUUUUUGAAACUUAUGCCUUUUAUUAAUAUAUUUAACGAUAUUUACAUGCAAAGUACAUGCGAUAUUUUUAACCCCGAAAGGGUAAGGGUGUCGAUUUUGUCGAGCGACAAGAUGGAGCAUAGUAUAUAUGCAUAAGAUUUUGACAUUCCCUUUUUGUAGGUGCUUAAGCUGGCUUUCUUCUUCAUUCUCUGGACAUUCGAUCUGUUACACCAUUCAGUCUUCUUGGCAUCCAUUUGAUGUUGAUUGGGUGGUCUUAUAUAAGUUGAUGAAAUUUGGAUACCGGUUCUUGAGGUCCAAUGUCCUGGGUUAGAUUCAAAAUUAUGUUUGUUAGUUGUAUCCACUAAAGUGGAAUUGUUAGAAACAAUGAUUGCAUUGCUGAUUUGGAACACUAUUGUGAUGUUAUACGUCACCCGAAUCCUGCAAGCUCUGCCUGUAAAGGAGAACUCCAAUCUGCGCUGCAAGCUUGUAUGAGCAUAAUUUUGUGGGUGACUGGAUCGUGAAUAAAAAUCACAAUAUCAUUCAAGUUGUCCUUCCCGGAUGCAUCAACAUAGCACGGUGAAUUUUCAUGUAUUUCAUUCUAUGUAUCUUGUUAUUCUUCCUCAUGUAUGUAGUAAGCUUUUCGCAUUGCAUUUGCUCCAUUGAGCACUCGUCCAUGUU
Molecule: long non-coding RNA, 5293 nt
Filed under: Oryza brachyantha (malo sina)
Lineage: Eukaryota; Viridiplantae; Streptophyta; Magnoliopsida; Poales; Poaceae
Description: long non-coding RNA (OBRA_LNC001355)
Source: RNAcentral